This is a non-coding RNA of Pelobates cultripes (western spadefoot toad), 380 nucleotides long. The record is from the annotation of a GenBank genome assembly. Lineage: Eukaryota; Metazoa; Chordata; Amphibia; Anura; Pelobatidae.
UGGGAGUUUUGUCUAAUAUGGAAUCUGGUGGUCCAGGCGGAUUACCUACCGGGCCUGCACAAUGUUCAGGCAGAUUGGAACUCACGUUAUCUCUUGGACAGCAGCGAUUGGAGAUUUGAUGUAGAGAUGUUUUGCACAGUUUCCUCCCUUUGGGGUCCCUUUAUCAUAGACCUAUUUGCCUCACACCCAGCUGCCCCGUUUCUUCAACUGGCGCCAGGACCCAGCCGCAGAGGCAGUGGACGCUUUCCUGCAGGAUUGGCAUGGACCUCUUCUCUAUGCUUUCCCGCCAUUUGCCAUGCUUCUCAGGACGCUGCUUCAGUUUCGCCGCGAAAUGGCGGAGUUGGUUCUCUUAACCCCAUUCUGGGGGACUCCGUCGUGAU